UUUCAACAGACACAAAAACAGAACAGAAAAUAGCUCCGGAGACUGCAUCUUCCUGUGGGAUUUUGAAAUAGGAGAGCAACGACUGAAGCUCACCAAUGCCCCUGGAGAGGCGCUACUGCUGAAGCAUGCAGCAAAAAGCUCAGUCUUUCAGGCUGGUGACAGGAGGCUGAGAUGGACACAGAGUCACAACAACAGGGAUGCUUUAGAGGCAGGUAAGCAGUUUGCCAACUUCUGGAAGGAAGAGUGGAAAGCAUCUAAAUUAUACGAUAUUGGGUCUUCCCCAGCACUGCAUGAGCCUUGUCCCAGAGCCAGAUGCACCCGGUGGGAGUUCACACUGCAGGGAGACAUGCUUUUCUGUAGGAUGGUCCUCCCCUGAGACACCCCUGAAGGAUUAGUCAGACUCGCAUGCCUCAGGAGUAAAUGGGUACUGCAAAUACUGGAAGAAGAACAAAAAUAAAGCUGAGCAGAGCUGCAGCACAGGCCCAGGGAGCUGCCUGCAUGGCUGAGUGGGCCCAGGCUGUCCAUGAGGAGCCCUGCCUGGUGGGAAGGGAGCAGCUGGGAAGGGUCUGCCUGCAGCGUUCCUCAUGUUCAUCCCCUGCUCACCUGCAGAGCCCAGGGCUGUAGGGAGGUCCCUGCCCCUCGCUGCAACACCAGGGACAACCUGCCCUGCCUCUCACAAGGACAAGAGAAAAGGACAAGAGAAAAUGCCUGCAGCUGUCUUGCUCAUGGUGGGGUCCUGCAACAAUCCCAAGUAGCUACAUCACAGACAACACACCCAUGCUGUUUGUACAGCAGCAUCUCACAGAGCUCAGAGCCUGCUGCACUGAGUACAGACACAAGUGAUGCAUUGGAACAGGCUGCCCAGGGAGGUGGUGGGGUCAGCAUUCCUGGAGGUGCUCAGGGAAAGGGCAGAGGUGGUACUGAAUGAUGUGGUCUGGAAUGGGCACAGGCAUAGGUUAACAGCAAGACUGAAGGGUCGCAUAGAACUGUUGAGGCCGGACUAAUCAAUCAAUAAGUACAUGAACAAAAAAUGCUGUAGGUGCCAACAGGAAGAAUUAGUUCAGAACAGAAAAUAAUUUCCACAUCAUCCAUCUGAGGAGAAGGGGCCACAUCUGAAUGUUUGAACUGUGUGUAAACACUACAGCUAUGGCUGGAGAAGUAUGUUGAUAAAUCGCAUCUAUCCUGAGCAGGCCUGAGUGGUCUUUAGGCAGAGCAGGGCUGUUCAGUGGGACAGGAGAAUCAAUAUGGACUUUGUAAGUAGAAAGACUGCACAUAAGCAAGAUGAUUUACUUGCACAAAAUGCUAUUGUUUUAAAUGAAGCUCUGAACUCAGUAUUUUGAUAUCCAUAAAGAAUAAAACAGAAGUAAUUUUACCACCACAGGAAUGCACUGUUUUGGACUCAAAACCAACAAUGGUUCCCAGGCUUCCCUUCUGAGCCCCAGGAGGUACCAGCAGGCAUCUUCCCCACGAGAGGGGUUGUCAUCAUAAAGCAUUCAUUUGCUGAAAACAAAUAUAUUGGCUUCAACAAACUGGAAAAUGUUGGGAAUGGGACUGAAUCUGAGAGAAAAAGCUUAUAAUGAGCUUCUGGCCAUUCUGGGAUGCUUCUCCAGCCUGCUUUCUUUCUAAAAGAAAAUGAAAAUAC
This 1642-nucleotide long non-coding RNA is filed under the name Gallus gallus (chicken). RNAcentral's name for it is "lncRNA (ENSGALG00010007206.1)". Lineage: Eukaryota; Metazoa; Chordata; Aves; Galliformes; Phasianidae. The record is from RNAcentral.